This is a long non-coding RNA of Anolis carolinensis (green anole), 4815 nucleotides long. RefSeq lists it as uncharacterized. The record is from RefSeq and is a predicted model, not a curated record. Lineage: Eukaryota; Metazoa; Chordata; Lepidosauria; Squamata; Anolidae. The transcript has 3 exons.
GCCCGGGAGGCGGGGGCAGAACAGGGAGUGGGCGGGGCUUCCCAUACGAGAGGCUAAAGGUUCGGAAAGGAGUGAGUGACGCUGCGGGCGGGGAGAGGGAGCGGCGUGGUCACGUGAGCCCGGCCUCUGACGUCACCGGUGUCCAGACCUCCCAAGCUGCACAUUGGCUGCUCUGCCUUGACAGCAAAGCCGGAGGAACGUCGCUCGGCGAGGCCGCCGCAGCAGGUUUUGCGAGACUCCUUCUCUGGAGGUUUUAAGAAGAAGCUAGAUGGCCAUCUGUCAGGAGGGUUUGGAUUGUGUCUUCCUGCAUGGCAGAAGGCGGCUGGACUGGAUGGACUUUGUACUAUACCUUCCAACUCUUAGAAUCAGUAAUAUAUGCUACAAGUUACUUUCAGAAUGACAGCACCUAGUGAAAAUUCAUCAUGGAACUAAUUCAGGUUUCCCUGCUUAUUGGAUUUUCUUUGGUAAGAAAGGGGAAGAUGUGGUAAGAAAAGGGAAGGGUUAAAAUAGAAGACAUAAUUUAUGAACCUGUUCUCCCACUACUCAUAAAGCUGUCUUGCUGAGGGAGGUCAAAUUUUUUGACCAGGGCCCACAUUGACCACGAACCACUUGACCGGGGAUCACUUUGACCAGGGACCACUCUCCAACAUUAGUACCAAAAAGGUUAUGAAUCAGUUUUUGGUCAACUUUAGAUUCAGUUUGGAUAUUUGGGGUGCUGAUUCAGAAAAUUGUAUUGGAUAGACCAUAUCAGCUCUAGUUUCUGAUACAGAACAUAUGCCAUCCAGUAGUUGCCAUCUGCUCGCCCGCAUAAAACCAUAUUUAAUAAUGUGGUGUAUCCAGUGCAAUGGUCAGCUCUGCCGAAAGGAGUGGAAAUAAAAUUAAUACAGUAAAAUGAAUUAAUAAAGAGGAAGGAGGUUCACGGACUGGAUUUUUGUACUCGUGGCCCACGGCUGGGCCGUGGCCCACAGGUUGAGAACCACUGAUUUAGAAUGAAAAUCUUCCAGCUUGGUAAAUGUACUGGGGAAGCUUCUUUUUAUGGAGGGGCUGAAGAAGCCAUAGCAGAAUUGUACAAAAGUUGAAUGAAAAGUAAUGCCUCCACCUUAGUUACUUGGGUUUGGAUGGGAAUAUUUUAAUAAAUCAAACUAAGAAAUAAUUCUUAGAAUGUGCUCUUUAACUACCACUAUUCGCUUUUCCACAUAAUCACCAGACAAUUGGAUACAUUUCUGCCAAUGAUGAACAAGUUUUCUGAAGCCAUCACAGAAGACACUCUGUUUCCACAACCAGCGUCUCACAGUACCCAAUGUGCAUAUUUUUGUGAAAUGUUGAUUAAGUUUGAAAUUUCUCUGAGUUAUACAACGAUCGUCCUGAAUCAAUCUGUCAAACUUUUGCUUGUGAAACUUGGUGGUUGCUGUCACAGGACGUCCAACUCUUGUCACGCAAGUCAGAUGUUCCCAUCUCAACAUCUUUCAACUUACUCGUCCAACGACGCACAGUACUCACAUCAACACAAUUACCAUAAACAGCUUUCAUUCUCUGUUGAAUCUCCUGUUGGGUGACACCUUCUGCUGUCAAGAAUUCAAUGACUUCACGUUGCUUAAGUCGCAUUGACUGACCGUCUGCGCAGGGUUCCAUACUUCACACUUUAACAACACAACCAUUCAAUGCUAAGGCCACCUGCCAAAUAGAACUGUAGAGGAGAGUCUACUGAAUAAGCCAGUACCUGCCGCAUACCAGUACUGCCAUCUGUUGAGGAGUUACGAAGGUGGAGGCAUUACUUUUCAUUCAACCCUCGUAUAUAUGAUACAAAACCAUCAUCAUGUGUUCUUGACAAGCCUAAUUUCAUAUUCCUCUCCCUGCUUCCCCUGAGUAUCUCUUGCCAAAUCUUUCUUUCUAAUUGUUCACCAGGGAACAAUUUUUUAUCAUUCCAUCCUACCCAUGUUGAGAGCAGUAGUCAAUGUGAUAAUUUCAAUUUUGGGUUUAUAAAUAGCAGACCUUGAGCCAGUAGCUAUCUUUGGCUUCAGUUAUUUCCAUAAGACAGUCAUAUAAACCCCCUUUCUGCUGUCCUACUUCCUUUAUUGAGGCAUACCAUUGUCAUUGAUAGAAUCAGGGCUGUACAGAAAAACUAGUAGUACUGUAAAUGUUUUGUCUCCAUUAAUUAAGAACGCUUAAUUUUUCUAUCAUGUCACCAAGUACUUUGCUUGUGGACCUAGGUUUAAGAUCAGUCUGUUUCCCGUCCCCUUUUCCACCACGAUAUCAUGCCUUUCUCUUCAAACACCAUUAUACGUCUGAACCUUGUUCGAAUACAUUUUCUAUUAGUAUAUUAGAAUGAUUUCUAGUCAUAUUAACAUAUAUUUUAAUUCUUUCUAAUUACUGUAGUUCCUUCUUGGCUAAACAACACAGCCUUUAAUCUCUGAUAAUUUCCUUAACAAUUAAGGUGCCAUGCUUUAUGUUUAGCCUCUAAGUGGCAGUGUUGCAUAUCUGAAUAUACAUAUUCAGGCAUUUUAAACAAAUGUUGCACAUGUUUCUCCAUGGGUGAAGGAACUUCCCAUAUGUUACUGAAAGCUAAGCAGUGUUAAUACUUAGAUGGCUGACCACCAACCAAUAACAAGUAUUGUAGGUUACAUUUCAGACGAAGGAAAUGGAAAAAUAAUCUGAGUAUUCAUUUCUUAAGGCCAUGUGUACAUUAGGCAGUUAAUCUGAGGCCAGUCCAUAGCAGAAAUACUCCAGAAUGUCCCCAGAGGCAGCCAUAUGCAUUACCUUGAAUCUGCAGAAGCAGGCAGUUAGAAUCCAGGCAAUCUAGACUGCAUUACUUCUGCUGGACUAUCACCUUACUGUCCAUGUUGCUAUCACCACUACCAGAGCUUCAUGUGAGCUCCUGGCAAACUGGUUAAAGUUAGACCCAAUUUGCAGUCCACGUUGUCAUGAAGCAGCAGGGUUGUUCUGGAGCUUCAGGCAAACUCCACCUCCAACUUUUCUUAAUGUAGGACCAAAGGAGUAAAUUGACUCCGUUUACUCCAUGAUACCUAAUGGAAAUGCAAGAACAUUGUGGGGACAGCCAAGAUCAAAUUCAUGGUGAAUGUGGAUUAUACUCCUGGUUCAAAUGAGACCUAAGAAAGCUGUAUGGAUUUAAUGGGAUCACCAUCAGUAGAUAGGCGACUUGAAGGUACACAUAGACACUAUGUGACAGUAAGAGCCCCGGUGGCACAAUGGGUUAAACCCUUGUGCCGGCAGGACUGCUGACCGAAAGGUCGGUGAUUCGAAUCCGGGGAGUGUCAGCUCCAGCUUCUCAUUUGGACACAUGAGAGAAGCCUCCUACAGGAUAGUAAAACAUCCGGAUAUCUCCUGGGCAAAGUCCUUGCAGACAGCCAAUUCUCUCACACCAGAAGCGACUUGCAGUUUCUCAACUCGUGCCUGAUAAAAAAAAGGAGUAAGUGGUGAUUUGAGGAGGAUAGAGCCUACUUUUCACUAGCACUAGACGUCAUGAGAUACAAAUAAGUAGCUACUGUCGAUUAUUCUGUAACAAAAGAACAGCUGCAUUACAUUAUAACUGUAAUUCAACAAGUGAUCAUUUCCCUCGUUUUGUAAUGUAACCAUACUGUUUAAGCAACUUUACCCCUAUUGUAGAACCUUAUCAAGAUUUUCUUAUGUUUUCCUGGAACACAGCUUAAAAGCCAUUGAUGUUGAUGAUCCACAUAUAAUUUGCCAGGUGGCCAACUACCUCUUACAAUAUAAGCUGCUGAGGCAAAUAAAGUGCAUAGUUAAUUUAUUGCAGUCAAACAAACAUUCUAAGGCAGGAUAGAAGGGUUUCAAUUUGCAUGUAAAUCCAACCUUAGACUUCUGUAUGACAACCAAUAAUUCAAGAAACCAGUUCUCCAUGUAUGCUGUGUAAAGAAGCAGAAACAGCAGCUGUCCAUGCGAAAAAUAGCUGUGUAGAUAUCCUUAGAUUCAAUGUACAUGAACACAAAUGGAUUGAUUCUCAGAAAUACUCUGUUAAGGUCAUUCUUUUGUAUUUGCUUCAUUUGUGUUGCUAGAUUGUAUAUUAGCAAAGCAAAAUGAGAUUGCACAAGGCUUAUUUUUACAUUAUGCAACCUUUUAAUACAGAAUAGAUCAGGAAGUGGAUAUCGGUUGCCAUCCUGUGAAACAGCACUGUUGUCAUAUCAGUGAGAUUACACUAACUGUUUGAACAAGAAUAUUGUCUUUCUGUUGAAAAACCUGGUAGGCUGUAUGGUGGGUAUGAAGCAGUGUUGAUCUUCAGUUGUAUAACUCUUAAAUUAGGUCAGUACUCAGUAACAUUUGUUCCAGUAAACUUCAGGAAUAGCGAGUGAAUUUACCUUCGCAGCAUUGCAAUUAGUUAAGAGCUUAACUAAUGCUUCUUAGGAAUAUGUAUGGAAUAUUCCAUAUUCCAUAUGGAAUAUCUCUACAUAUUAUUUUUUCAUGUCAGGAGCAACUUGACAAACUGCAGUCACUUCUGGUGUGAGAGAAUUGGCUGUCAGGAAGGACGUUACCCAUGGGACCCCGGGUUGUUUGAUGUUUUGCCAUCCUUGUGAGAGGCUUCUCUCAUGUCCCUAUAUGGAGCUGGAGCUGAUAGAGGGAGCUCAUCCGUGCUCUCCCUGGGUUGGAUUUGAACCAGCACCCUUCAGGUCAGCAACCCAAACUUCAAGGUUGCCAGUUCAAAUCCAACCUGGGAUGGUAAAAACGUUCUCUACAUAAUCACCAUUGUUAAUAUUUUCAAACUAUUGGUGAAACACACAAAUCUGUUCAUAAGGCAAUGAAAAGAAAACAUUUUUAUUAAAUAUAUUUACUUUUUUGAUGGAA